RNAcentral lists this transfer RNA (72 nucleotides) under Loxodonta africana (African savanna elephant). It matches the Rfam family "tRNA". Rfam says of the family: Transfer RNA (tRNA) molecules are approximately 80 nucleotides in length. Their secondary structure includes four short double-helical elements and three loops (D, anti-codon, and T loops). Lineage: Eukaryota; Metazoa; Chordata; Mammalia; Proboscidea; Elephantidae. The record is from Rfam by way of RNAcentral.
GCCCUGGAGGCAUAAUGGUUAAGUGCUUGGCUACUAACCAAAAGGUUGGUGAUUCGAAUCCACCUGUUGGCU